GCCAGGCGUGGUGAUGCGCGCCUGUAGUCCCAGCUACUCAGGAGGCUGGGGCAGGAGAAUCGCUUGAACCCGGGAGGCAGAGGUUGCAGUGAGCCGAGAUUGCGCCCACUACACUUCAGCCUGGGUGACAGAGUGAGACUCUGCCUCAA
RNAcentral lists this non-coding RNA (149 nucleotides) under Chlorocebus sabaeus (green monkey). Lineage: Eukaryota; Metazoa; Chordata; Mammalia; Primates; Cercopithecidae. The record is from Rfam by way of RNAcentral.